Molecule: ribosomal RNA, 446 nt
Filed under: uncultured bacterium
Lineage: Bacteria
Description: partial 16S ribosomal RNA
Rfam family: Bacterial small subunit ribosomal RNA
Source: RNAcentral
CCUCCUUUGUUCCUCCUUCUUUCCUCUUCCUCCCUUUUGUGCCCCCUGCCCGCGCCACGCCGCGUGAACGAAGAAGUUAUUCGUAAUGUAAAGUUCUUUUAACAGGGAAGAAAGAGAAAUUUGACGGUAACUGAAGAAUAAGCUCCGGCUAACUACGUGCCAGCAGGCGCGGUAAUACGUAGGGAGCGAGAGUUAUCCGGAAUUAUUGGGCUAAAAGGGUGCGUAGAUGGCAUAGUAAGUCUUUUGUAAAAAUGCUGGGCUAAACCCAGUAGGGCAAGAGAUACUGCAAAGCUAGAGUAUGACAGAGGCAAGUGGAACUACAUGUGUAGCGGUAAAAUGCGUAAAUAUAUGUAAGAACACCAGUGGCGAAGGCGACUUGCUGGGUCGAUACUGACAGUGAGGCACGAAAGCGUGGGGAGCAAACAGGAUUAGAUACCCCAGUAGUC